Molecule: small nucleolar RNA, 135 nt
Organism: Pteronotus mesoamericanus
Lineage: Eukaryota; Metazoa; Chordata; Mammalia; Chiroptera; Mormoopidae
Product: small nucleolar RNA SNORA42/SNORA80 family
Exons: 1
Source: RefSeq, a predicted model, not a curated record
GCAUGGGAUUGGAUUUAUGGGGGGCCCCGUUCCCAUGGGUCUCUCAUAGUGCCCCAUGCCAGAGCAACCUGUGGCCGCGAACCAUGGCCUGGCCUCCGCCCGUAGGCCGCAGGCCCUGAAGCAGGUUACACAGCG